Molecule: non-coding RNA, 453 nt
Organism: Pelobates cultripes (western spadefoot toad)
Lineage: Eukaryota; Metazoa; Chordata; Amphibia; Anura; Pelobatidae
Source: the annotation of a GenBank genome assembly
CUUGUCUCCUUACCUUUUGGGUACAGAAGGGUGGUUUCCCUGGGGUCCAAUGGGAGCUGGAGGGCCAAGGCUGAUGAGAGUCUGUCCUCAGUCCCUUUUCUCCUCCUGUGUAUACCUCCUCUACCUCCCCAGCGGCACUCUGUUACUAGUGAGGUGAGAUCACUUCCUCCCAGCAGGUAACAUCAAAGGGGCCAAGGCCGAGCACUCUUAAAGGGCUGAGGGCCCUUAAUUACAUCAGGUGCUGCAGUCCACAUGAUUUGGACCCCAGCAAGGGGCCCACAGAGCAGCUACUUUGGCCCCCCCAGGAGUAACUGGGCCCGGGGCAGCUGCCCCUUUCGCCCCCCUUUAAAGACGGCCUUGCAGACACUGCUGGACGAGGGGGAUACUCCCACUGGAAUAUACCGUUAAGUGGAUUAUCCCUCAGUGCAGCAGGACCGGCAUUGUACAUUUAAA